Molecule: unclassified non-coding RNA, 347 nt
Filed under: soil metagenome
Description: partial contains 5.8S ribosomal RNA, internal transcribed spacer 2, and large subunit ribosomal RNA
Rfam family: 5.8S ribosomal RNA (bases 1-119)
Source: RNAcentral
GAUGAAGAACGUAGCGAAAUGCGAUAAGUAAUGCGAAUUGCAGAAUCCGUGAGUCAUCGAAUCUUUGAACGCACAUUGCGCCCUUUGGUAUUCCGAAGGGCAUGCCUGUUCGAGCGUCAUUAUCACCCCUCAAGCCCCGGCUUGGUGUUGGGCUCUCGGUGGUCGUCUCCGACCACCCGUUUCAAAGAUAGUGACGGCGUCCCAGAGGGAACCGGUACGAGGAGCUUUCACGAGCAUGUACGCGGGACGACUCUGCGGGCGACGGUCUUAUUUACUUUAUAUACAAGUGUUGACCUCGGAUCAGGUAGGAAUACCCGCUGAACUUAAGCAUAUCAAUAAGCGGAGGA